RNAcentral lists this ribosomal RNA (425 nucleotides) under uncultured bacterium. Its description in RNAcentral is "partial 16S ribosomal RNA". It matches the Rfam family "Bacterial small subunit ribosomal RNA", at positions 354 to 796 of the family's 1533-position model. The record is from RNAcentral.
GUGGGGAAUCUUGCGCAAUGGGCGAAAGCCUGACGCAGCCAUGCCGCGUGGAUGAUGAAGGUCUUAGGAUUGUAAAAUCCUUUCACCGGUGAAGAUAAUGACUGUAGCCGGAGAAGAGGCCCCGGCUAACUUCGUGCCAGCAGCCGCGGUAAUACGAAGGGGGCUAGCGUUGCUCGGAUUUACUGGGCGUAAAGGGCGCGUAGGCGGACAUUUAAGUCAGGGGUGAAAUCCCGGGGCUCAACCUCGGAACUGCCUUUGAUACUGGGUGUCUUGAGUAUGAGAGAGGUGUGUGGAACUCCGAGUGUAGAGGUGAAAUUCGUAGAUAUUCGGAGGAACACCAGUGGCGAAGGCGGCUCACUGGCUCGAUACUGACGCUGAGGUGCGAAAGCGUGGGGAGCAAACAGGAUUAGAAACCCGGGUAGUCC